Molecule: long non-coding RNA, 20024 nt
Organism: Peromyscus californicus insignis
Lineage: Eukaryota; Metazoa; Chordata; Mammalia; Rodentia; Cricetidae
Exons: 9
Source: RefSeq, a predicted model, not a curated record
CAAUAGUGAAACAUUGUAAUUAAUGUAGUGUACAUACAGUUCUCUUGGCUCAUAUUAAUGUGUAGGAUGCAUGUGUUAUUACAGUGUCAUACAGGGUAGUCUUACUGCUCCCCAACCUCUCACCCUGUGCUUCAUCUCUGUGUCCUUCUGUCACCGUACCAAGAGCCUUUGCAUCUACUAAUCUAGUUAAUGUCUCCAGUCUUUCCUUUUCAGAAUGUCUCCUGGUUGGAAUCAUGCAUACACACACAGCCACCUAAGACUAGCUUCUUCUAUUUAUUAAUGUGCUGGUCAGUUUUUGUCAACUUGACACAAACCUAGACAUAUUUGGCUAGAGGGAAUCUUAAUUGAAAAAAUGCCUUUGUAAGAUUGGCCUGUAGGCAAGUCUGUGGGGGUGUUUUCUCGAUUCAUGAUUGAUGUGGGAGGAGCCAGCCAACUAUGGGCAGUGCCACCCCUAGGCUGGUGGUUCUAAGUGGUACAAGAAAGCAAACUGAGCAAACCAUGGAGAGCAAGCCUAUAAGCAGCCCUUGUCCAUGGCCUCUGCAUCAGUUCCUGCCUCUGGGUUCCUGCCUUGAGUUCCUGCCCUGACUUCCCUGGAGGAUGAACUACAAGCUGUAAGAUGAAAUAAACCCUUUCCUCCCCAAGUUGCUUUGGGUCAUGGAGUUUAUCACCUCAAUAGAAAAGUAAUGGGAACAAACAGGAUGCAUUUAAGCUCUUGCCACCCCUUUUCAUGACUUGUGAAUUUAUCUUUUCAUCUGUGGACAACAGUUUCAUUGUGUGGAAUAGUUUACACAUCCAGUCACCUGUUGAAGGAUGUUGUGGCUGCUCCUAGGUUUUAGUGAUUAUGAGUGAAGCUGCUGUAAACAUGGAGUGCAGGUUUUGUGUAUGAAUGAAAAAAAGAAAUGAAAAGGAAAGGACAUGUCUGCUUCUAGGUGUGGUGGAGGAGAAAGUUUAUUGUAGAUAAAAGGGAGCGCAUAGACAGAGGCAGGGACGUCUGGGAGAGUCCAGAGUGAAUGUGACCAGAGGGAAAGGGGAGAAAAGGAGACCAGGUACAGCAGCCAAGAGGGCAAAAGGUAAAAGAAGGGUGGGUAACCAAAAUGGCUGGAUUAUAUAGGAAGAGCCUCUGAGGAAGGGCAGCCCAGCCCCUGGGCUGUAGAGUUCAGGGUAGGGCGUGGGGUAUGCCAGCCAUACCCUGUGACAGGUAGGGACUGAGGGAUGCUGGGAGGAUCUGAGCCAGGUCCACCUCUGAUAAGUUAAAUAAGCACUUCAGCCUUUUGUCCCAGGGUUUGAAACUUAGUGUGAGCAUAAGUUCUCAACUCAGUUGAGUAGUCUGAGACUAUACUGAACUGUGUGAGAUGCUAUCAGGCUGUCACUCAAAGGGGCUGGGCCACUUUGGACUCCAUACAGAGACCAGAGAGAACUCGUACUGUGCUGCAUUCCGCCAGUACUUGGUAUUGCUAGGUGCUUUUUCUCUUAGUUUUAGGCGUGUAGAGGUGGUUCAUUGUUUUCAUUUGUAAUUCUCUAGUGCAAUGUGAAAUUGGAUGUCUUUUCAUGCUGUAUCUAGGUGCCCUCUUUGGCGAAACAUUUUUCACAUAUCUUGCCAAUUCUUUAAUUGGGUUAUUUUCUUAAUAUUGAAUUUGAAGAAUUCUUUUUAUAGUCUGGAAUAAAAUGCCUUUAUCAAAUAUGUAUUUUAUGAACAUAUUCUACCCAACUGCAGCUUGCUUUUUCGUGCUUUUAUUAAUCUCUUGCAGAACAGCAAGUUUUAAUUUUAGCUAAGUCCAACUCGAUAAUUUUUCUUUUAAUUAUUAUACUUUUGGUUUUGUGUCUGAAAAAUCAUCUCCAAAACCAAGGUCAUAAAGAUUUUCUUCUAGGGUAUGUUUAUUUUUUUGUGUGUGUGUCUAUAUAUGUGCAUGUAUAUUUAUAUGCAUAAUCAUGUAUUCAUGUGUGUAUGCAUGUAUGUUAUUCACACGUAUAUGAAUUUGUGCAUAUGUUAUAUGACAAAACUUUUCCUGGAGAGAUGCAACACACACAUUUACUAACCCCAGAUAGGGAUCCCAUGACAGACCAAAGUAUGGAUAACACCAAAGUCCAAUUUGGUGAACUAGUGAGUUUUAUUGGGGUUACUUACAGGAAUAUGGGUGAAGGGUUACUUCUUACAGGAGCAGAAAUGACCCAAAGACAGAUGCAUCACCAAAGCUCACCCCAGCAUGAUUGACAGCUCACAAAGUCAGGAACCUGGAGCACACUGCACAGUCUGCAGGCAGCUCGACAGGUUGGAGAGUGUCCUUUCCAAGUGCCACAGCUGAUCUAAACCUCUUCCAGGCAGCUCAGCUGGUUUCUGCUUCUUCCAUGAAGCUGGACUGGUCUAAGUGUCUUCUUUGAAUUUCAGCGCUCUUCUGCCUGAGGGGAACUCUCAGCUUUUAUUAUUUAUUCUGGUAGGGACAGGCCUAGUGAAUCUGGUUAGUUUCAGGGACUUCCUGAAGCUAUUCCAACUUUCACCUUCCUGCGUAAGGAGCUUCCUGCAGAAUGGGAUGUUUUGAUCUUAGAGGAAACUGUUACACAACGUGCAUGUAUGUGCACAUUUACAUGUAUGUAUUCAUGUGUAUGUGUUCACAUAUGUAUACAUAUGUGUGUGUUCAUGUGUGUAUGUAUGGUGUACUGUUAGGUACACAUGCAUCUGUGUAUGCAUGUGUUCAUGUGUGUAUUCAUGGACAUGGGUUUGUAUGCAUGCAAAUGAAUGUGUGUAUGCAUGAGGAAGCCGAAGGUCCACCUCAGGUGUCUUCCUCAGCAGCUUUCUACCUCAGUUUUGAGAUAGGCUCUCUGGUGUUCACUGGAGCUCACCCCUUUGGAUAAGCUGAUUGGCUGGCAGGACUUAAGGACCCACUGUCCCCACCUCCCCAGUGUAGGGACUACAGGAAUGCCCAGCUUUGUUACUUGGGCUCCGGGGAUCAAACUCAGGUCCUUACAUUACAGAGUAAUUUUACCCAUUGAGCCAUCUCCCCAGCCAGAGAAGUUUUUGGUUUUAUAUUUAAGCUUACAGUACAGUCUGAAUUCAUUUUUUAUAUACAGUAGAACUCCAUAUUUUGAUGAUUUUUUUAAAGUAAGGCUAUCUCAAUGUUUCACUACUACUAGUUGAAAUGACUUGCGUUUCUCCAUUGAAUUUCCUUCUCUACUUUCUCAGUGAUAUGUUGUGUAUAUUACCUGGGUCUAUUUUAGACUGUUUUGUUCCCUUGGUCUGUCUAUCCCCCCAACCCCAGGUGCUGCUCUAUCUUGAUUAGUGAUCCUUCAUGGUCCUCUUAAAAUCAGCUAGCAUCUCUUUGGCUUUGUUCUUCUUCGAUAUUGUGUUGCCUGUGCCAUGUGUUUCUUGUUGUGAUUCUUCUUUGCCUUUUCAUGCCAUCCCCCAAACAGCCCACUAGGAUUUUGAUUAGGAUUUCACCUCAUCUGUAGAUCUGUAGAUUGAGUUGAGGAACAUUGGCCUUCCUGUCCUUGAAAAUAUGAAGUACCUCUACUUACAUCUUUGAUAUCUCUCAUCAGAAUUGUAUGGUUUCCUCUUACAGUCUGUAUAUAUUUUGAUGGAUCUACACCUAAGUAUUUAGUUGCUACUCAUGUGGAUAAUAUUGUGUUUUAGAUUUUGUAUUCUAAUUACUCAUUGUGGAAUAUGGAACAUAUCUGAAAAUAAUUAUUUUUGUAUGGUAAUCCUGUACUAGGCUACUUCGUAAUUGUUAAUUCUGGAGGACCUUUUGAAAUAAAUUCUUUUAAAAAUUAUCUAUACCUAUCUAUUACCAUCUACCUACCUGUCUAUCUAUCUAUCUAUCUAUCUAUCUAUCUAUCUAUCUAUCUAUCUAUCUACAUAUAUAUGUAUGUAUGUAUGUACCUAUGUAUUUGUCUACAUAUGUAUGUAUGUAUGUAUGUAUGUAUCUAUCAUCUAUCUAUGUAUCUACGUAUCUACGUAUGUAUGUAUGUAUGUAUGUAUGUAUCUAUGUAUCUAUGUAUCUAUCUAUCCAUCUACCGACGUGUACCUAUGUGUACAUGUGGAGGUAUGAGGACAAUUUGUGAGAAAGUCACUUUCCCCUGUCAUGAUGUAGGUUCAAGGUAAUAGAACUCAGGUCUCCAGACUGGACAGCAUGUCCUUUUACCCACUUAGCUAUUCCUCCAGCUUCUGUGUGGGGAGGGUGCCAAUUUCUUAAGAUCUUCAACAUAAUCAUGGCAUCUUCAAAAACGAGACAAUUUUAUUACAUUUCUCCACUGAUUUAAAUUUUGCACCCCUAUCUUAUUCUAUUAGCUUUUCCAGAAGAUCGAUUCGAAACCUUUUUUUUUUUUUUUCAAGCAUACACGUUCAAUGUUGUGUUCUUUUGGUUUUUGAGAUACAGUCUCAUGUAGCCCAGGCUGGUUUUGAACUUGUUUUAUACCCGGGAUGUGCAGGAUGAUGAGAGAACUCCUUUCAUGUUCCUGAUCUUAGUGGGGCAUUGUCUACCAGCUCAUCAUUAAGUACAUACAAUACCAGCUGUGGGAUGUGGGCUUUCUGUAUCGAGGUAAGAAACUCCCUUUUCAUUUUACUUUCAUGGUUUGUUUUUUAAUCAUGAAUGGAUGUUGGAUUUCAUCAGGUAAUUUCUGCAUCUAUUGGUAUGAACAUGAAUUUUUUCUUUGUUAACCUGUUGAUAUCAUGGAUUCUGUGAACUGACUUUUAAGGUUUUUUUUUUUUUUGAGAUAGGGUUUCUCUGGGGGCCCUGGAACUCCCUCUGUAGAGCAGGCUGGCCUUGAACUUGGAGAUCUGCUUGUCUCUACUGCUGGGAUUAAAGGCAUGUGCCACCACACCUGGGGACUUUUGAGUUUUGAAUCAGUGCUACAUACCUGAAAUAAACCCAUUGGCGCUCGAUGUAAAUUCUUUUUUCUGUGCAGGUGAAUUGUGCUUGUGAUAUUUUGCAUCUGUGUUCAUGAGUAAGAUGGUCUGUAGUUUUCUUUUCUAGUUGCAAUCUGGUUCUGGUGUCAGGGUUUCGAUGAGCUCACAGGAUAUUAUGAGAUACUUGUCCUCUUCUGUUUCCUACAAGAAACGAUAGAGACUUAGUAUCAUUUUUUUCCUUCACUGUUUAGUAGAAUUUUAAUGAAACCAUCUGGACUUGGUAAUUCCUUUUUGGAAGGCUAUUAAUUAUUACUUCUAUCUUUUUUCUGUUCAUAUGAUCUACUUUCUCUACGUGUGCAUUUUAAUAGUUUGUAUCUGUGAAAGAAUUAGUCCAUUUCAUUUAAGGUAACAGAUAUGUAGGCAUGCGACUGUUUUUAAUCUUCCAUCACUGAGCUUUAACACCCUUGGGACCGGUAGAUUCAGCUUCUGUGUCAUUUGCAAUGUUAGUAAUUUGUAGCUUGACGAGUGCCUUGUCUUAAGAAAUUAUUUUAUCUUAUUUUUGUGUACAGGUGUUUUGCCUGCAUGAACAGUACCCACCUUCCCCCCCGCCUUGGUUGCUGGGAAUUAAAUCUGGGUCCUCUGGAAGAGCAACCAGUGCUCCUAACCACCGAGUCACCUCUCCAGUCCUGUAGUAUUAUUAUUUUUUUAAAGAGUGAGCUUUUUUUUUUUUUGACUUCUCAUAUUGAUUUCCCAUCUCCAUUUUAUUGAUUCCUGCUUUGAUUAAACUGUUGGUUUGAUUAUCCGCCUUUGGGUUUAUACUGUUCUCGUUUCUUUAGUUUCCUGAGAUGGGAACUCAGAUGAUUGGAUUCAUCUCUCUUGUUUUCUGUCUCGUGUGUGUGUGUGUGUGUGUGUGGGGGGGGGUGUUGUUUUGAGACAGGGUCUCUUAUAGCUCUGGCUUGCUUCAGACUUGCUAUACACUCAAGGUUGACUUUGAACUCUUGGUCCUCCUGCCUUCACAUCCCAAGUGGGAGGGAUUACAGAUGUGUAUUAUCAGGGAGGCUUACCGCUAUCCAAUGAGAAAUUCUCAGCACUCAGAGACAAAAGGAAAAACUCUUAAUUAGUGCACCGAUGUAGCCUCUAGCUAUUACUUAAAGAGGCCCCGCCCCCAUCAGAAAUAUUUCAUAGCUUACAUAGACAUAAGCAUUUUCAUCAUCUUUUCUAUGUGACCAUUGACCAUUCUACGGCAGUCUUUUCGCCCUCACCCUAAAGGAGAUAUUCCUUGGAGCUAAGUUUUCUAGAAGCUGAAAUUUGCAGGUUUCUAGGUAAGACAGUUUUAUCUUUAGCAAACAGAGCUCACUGUCUACGCUUUUCCAGGAAAGGAGGGGAAAGCAGGUGUACAGAAGACAGUAGUCCAGUUUUGGCUCCUGUUGUCUGGGAUUAGAUGCAGGUUUUUAUCCUGUUUUCUUCUUACUAUGUAACCUACGACUUCCCAAGUAAACUUGUUGAUCAUAUUUCAUUAAUGUUAAAGCUUGUUAUUUUUCCUUUCUCUUUCAGUACCACCAUGCCUCCCAGACAUUGUCAGUUUCCUGAGAAAUCCACAUGCUGAUGCAUCCACAAAUCGCGAUACAUUGUAUUUCCAUCUUUACCUAGCUUAAAAUAUUUAAAAAUUUAUCUUGGGAAAAAUUCAGGCAAUCUGAGAGGCACAGAAAGUACGGCUAUUUGUUUCUAAUAUGAAGGUUUGUUGAAGGGGGAGGACAAGCAGGUAGAAGCAGUUGGCUGCUUUCCUCAAGGCCUCCAGUAAUUGCUCAGCUCAACACGCUUGCUUCCUCUUGGCCCGAGGUGUGGCCACACCCUCUUCACAAUGAACCUGAGGGCCUGCUUGCCCUUAGAGAUCUUGAGUAGCUUCUUCAUGGGGUACUGCUCUGAAAGUGUCGAGCCACACUGCUCCCAGAUCAUGCCCCACAAAUUUGGUGUGUUUGCUGAGUCUCGACUUGCUGACAUUCUUCAUCAUCCUGUGACCCUUGUUGAGGCCCAAGACCAUGGAGUGGGGCCGAGCCAUGGCUGCUGUUCUCCAAUGGCUGCUGAAUGGGAAAGACCACACCCCUAUGGUCUUAAGUCAUUACAAAUCUAUAUUUCAAGCUGUAGAAAAUUCAGUUUAUCCUACUGAUAACGGGGAGACAAGGACUUAGAAGAGCAGUGGUCAUGGUUCUCAGUGUUAAAUAACAGGAACCGAAUCUCGUGAAAUCGUUGAAAUUAAUGUGGGACUGCUCAGAAUGUUUUUAGGAAGCCUGCCAGAUCCAGAUUAUUGGCUGCACACCUAGAAACAAACCUCCAAGUCCUGAAACAAAGCUAAGAGAUCCAGGUGUAGAGUGCUUGUCUUGUGAGCGAGUGAGGGAGUGCGUGCAUAUGUAUUAUGUAUGUACGUAUGUAUGUGUGGGGUGUGUGUGUGUGUGUGUGUGUGUGUGUGUGUGUGUGUGUGUGUAUGUGCAGGGUUUGAUCCCCAGCACUGAUAAAACAACAACAUAAAACAAACAACAACAACAACAACAAAAAACAAGACAAACAAAACAAAUCCCAAGUCCGUCAAGACUCCACUGUUGUUGAGACCAGGCACAGACACCGGCAGUUCUGGACUUGGUCCAGGAGCCUGGAAGGAGUGGCUGCCUCACAUAGCACAGAGAACUGGUGGUGCCCACCUCUUCCUAGGGCCUGCCUGCAAUGCAGUCUCGGAGGGUUCUGAUGGGCUAGUUCCACAGCACAGCAGUCUCUGCUCUGCUAAGAAGCAAAGUGGUCCAAGUGGGAGAGCGCUGCACUUUGAGAUGACCCAGGGAGGGAGCCUGGACUCUCAACAGGGUGAGUCUGUGCACACCGUUUGACUGUGAGCUCCUGGAGUGGCGUAAUGGUAAAAGGAGAGCAGAGUUUUGAGGAUCGGGCGUUCUCCAGCCUGGAUAUGGUCAGCAUAGCACCCAGCAACAGCCCUGCCCUAGGCAUAAAUUGGGCACAUCAUGUUCAGAUUAAAUGGAAGGCCUAAAUGUCAGGUUCAAGACCUUGGCCUUUCAAUACUGCCUAUCUCUUCUACCAUAAAAUUAGGCUCUAUCUAGGGACUUUUUUGUUUGUUUUUUUGUUUUUUUUUGAGACAGGGUUUCUCUGUGUUGUUUUGGUGCCUGUCCUGGAUCUCGCUCUGUAGACCAGGCUGGCCUCGAACUCACAGAGAUCCGCCUGCCUCUGCCUCUGCCUGCCGAGUGCUGGGAUUAAAGGCGUGCGCCACCACUGCCCUGCUAUCUAGGGACUUUUAUCUGCUUUGUGUGAUGAAACCCCACAGUGAGAACAGGCCCAGAAGACUGACUCCUCACUAGGUGUUUGCUGAAUAAGUGAACGGGUGAUAAACUGAUGAGUAUCUGUUGUGCCAGUCUUACCAACCUAGACCCUUGAGUCCAUGUUCAUCCAGGGAGUUUCUUCCUGACUUAGUGACUUGGUUUUACCUUUUUUCAGCGUCACUGCAGAGGGUUCAAAAGGGCCCAUCUGUCCAGGCAGCUUCCAUCCCUGCUUCUCUGGGUGUCAUGUUGGGCACCUGCUACGUUCUGAGAAGAGAAGCCCGCUCUGCUCCCUCCCACGGCCCUUCCAGCCCAGCACCCCACUUCCUUCUCUGUCUUAGCUGCACCUCUCUCUCCAGUCUUGGUUCUGAAUUUCCCCUUGCUCAGUUGGACCUCAGCCGAUGUGUCUCACUACAUCAGUCUCUACCUUUGAGGGAUGGCAAUCAGCCUGUAAAAGAACUUUCCUCUGACUGAUCCCUGUGUAUACGCAAAAGUCAUGUCGUAGCCACAGAGACCACAGAUAAAGCCUGUGGGACCUAGAAAGGACUUCAUAAGUCAUCCACUCUUGCCUCUUCUGAGGUAGCCUUUGCACCUGCUGCCCUCCUACCUGCCUAGAGUGUCCCCUUGAUCUUCUGAUGGCUGGCCUCUUGUUACUGCAGGCUUCAGUAUAAAAUUCACCUCUUCAUAGAGCUCUGCCUGGAGGACUCCAUUUAAAGUAGCCACCUAGGGCCAUUCCAUCCUAAGACUGUACUGUAGGGAUCGGCCUGAUGCUUACCACUAGUUCAUACAUACAGUUAUUCAUUUAUCCACCACACAAGCAGAUGAAUAGUGCACGGCACAUAUUAGAAACUUAAUAAUGUGUGUGUGUUGCGUGUGUGUGUGUGUGUGUGGUAUGUGUGAGGGUGCACACUCUUGUUUGUGUGUGUGCAUGUGGAAGCCAGAAAUUUCAGUAUUGGUGUCUUCUAGAUCACUCUCCACUGUAUUUUAUUGAUUCAGGGUCUCUUGCUGAACUUGGAGAUCACCUAGGCUAGUCUAGCUAGUGGGUUUGUCUUGAGGAUCCCCUGUCCUCCUUUCAAACUCUGGGAAGAUAGGCAGGUCAUCAUGCCCACCUGGUUUUUAAUGCAGCUGCUGGGGAUCCAAACUCUACUCUCCAUGCUUACACAGCUGAGCCAUCUCUUCAGCCCCCAGUAAUAUCUGUUAAGUGAAUGAAUCCAGUUUAAGGCCAGGAAAGAAAAGUGACCUUUGCAAGGUCACAAGACUGGCCAGUGAAGAGCACAAAUAAGAACCUGCGACUCUUGACUCUGGUCUUGGCUUUUCCUAUCAUACUAGUUUUCAUAGUGACAGUGUAAAAUGGACAAACAUUUCUCAGUAUGUGUGUUUGUCUCCACAUUGGCUGUUAGUGCAUGCCAGUCAUACCUACUGUCUUAGUUAGGGUUUCUAUUGCUGCAAUAAAACACCAUGAUCAAAAAGCAAGUCAGGGAGGAAAGGGUUUAUUUGGCUUACACUUCCAUAUUGCUGUUCAUCACGGAAGGAAGUCAGGGUAGGAACCUGGAGGCAGGAGCUGGAGCAGAGGCCAUGGAGGGGUGCUGCUUACUGACUUGCUCCCUAUGGCUUGCUCAGUCUGCUUUCUUAUAGCACUCAGGACCACCAGCCCAGUGAUGGCACCACCCACAAUGGGCUGGGCCUUCCCCCGUCAAUCACUAAGCCCCACAGCUGGAUCUUAUAGAGGCAUUUUCUCAAUUGAGAUUCUCUCAAUUUAACUCUGGUUUGUGUGUCAAGUUGACAUAAAACUAGCCAGCACAAAUACUAAAUUGGUAGAAUUUAUGUUUUCCUAAACAAGGACACAGAGCCUUUAGGAUGCUAAGUGAGUUGCCAGGCAUAUCCUCCUCCCCACCUCCGGCCCGCCCCCCUGCAGGCAUGGCAUGCAUGUGUGCGUGCAUGCAUGUGUGUGUGUGUGUGUAUGAGACAGAGAGGGAGGAAGAGAGAGAAAGGGGGAAGGAGGAGGGAGGUAAAGAAUAUAAAUAUCUGGGGUCUGAAACCAGCUUACUCUGACAUUCAAGUUCUUUGUUCUGCAUCCACUGCCUGACUCUUUCUAGGUACCAUUUGUACUUUACUAGUGUGUCUGCACAGAAAACCUAAGCAGCAGGUAAUGGGAAUUUUGGGCACUAUAGUGGGCUGACAGCAGGUAUGGGGUAGGAUGGUUAUACAGCUUUCCUUUUGUCCUUCAAAUGGCAGUAUAGAGGUGACAUCUGUCUCUGUCUCACAAGUGGGGCUCAUUGCUCCAGGGUCCUGGAAUGCAACUGUCACAUGGUGUAAGUGGCCUUGAAAGGUGUGUCAUCUGGAUGAAAAACCUCUACUCAGCUCCAUUGGACUGAUAGGGCCAGCAAAGCCUGGAUCCCCUGUUCAUUCUGGCACCAUCCCUGCCUUCGUUCUUCUGAGCUCAUGGUGCAGCUUUCUGGCUGACUCUGAACCUUGGACAAACUCAGCCGUCCCUCCUCGGCACAGCAGACUAGACUACUCCUCGGGAUGUGGUGAACUUCUCUGAGUGGCUUCCUUCCCAGCCAAUGUUCUCCUGCUCAGUUGUGCUCCUGGUUCCAGCUCUUCCUGUCUUUUCUUGCAGAGUCCAGGGCAGGGAGAAUUCAGGUGCCAAGCCGGCAGAAACCCACCAUCCUCCACAAGAAACAGCAGAGACUCCAGUUCCUGCGUCACUAUUGGAGGAGGAUGAAAGCCGUGCCCAGAGACGGACUGGAGACUCCACCUCCCCUGCCAGCAUCCCUGGAGAUGAGGUACCUGACGCACUUGGCUGUCUCCUGCUUGAAUCUCUGCAGCUUCUCUUUGGCACCUAGAAAUUUGAGCUUGAAGAGGUGAAGUGACUUUUCUCAGGUCACCAGCUGGAAUCUACAUCAGUUGUCCUGGAUUGGCCCAGACCAGAGCUUGAAGAGGGGACUCAGGCAUCAGUAAUUUAAAACACUUCCUGGAGAGGGCUGGUGAGACGGCUGGGUAGGUAAAGGGGCUUCUGGCCAGGCCUGACAACCUGGGUUUGAUCCCUGGGAUUCCCAUGGUGGAAGGAGAGAACUGACUUCUGCAAUGUGUCCUCUGGCCUUCACACUUGAGUUGUGGCACACACACAAAAUAAAUAAGUAUAAAAACAAAUUCUUAGAUGGUGACAGUGGACAGCAGGGCUGAGAGAAACUGCUAGACUCUUAGUGGUGAUUCUCAGUGUGGGUUCCUGAGUCUCAGUACCAACAUCCCCCAGGAACUUAGCAAUGACCAAUCUCCUGCCCCAUCCCUGACCUUGAACCUGAAGCUGGAGGGCGGGCUUAGUACAUAUGUCUCAGCAGCCUCUCAAAGUGAGCUCCUUGGGCUAGCUACAGCAAAGCCACCUGUAAUAUCUAAUAGCAUGCAGAUGCUUGGGUGGGUGCUACUCCAAACCUUCUGAUUGUACAGAGGAUGGGCAGGGACCAUUUAAACAAACCCAGUGGAAGGGAUCCUGCAAUAGCCCCAUAUGUUUAAGAAGCAGUCCUGAAGGGCUGGUUGACACAACACCUAGUCUUUUCCCCAAAGCACCUUUUCAAUCUACAGGACCAGUUCACUAUCACAGUAACGAGAAAAUAGUGAAUGUGGCCAGCUUUGCUCAUAGCAUACAUGGGGUCUCAGGAGGAACCUCUCCCUGGCAUUCUUAUCCAGUUCUGCCUAGCAGAAACCCUGUAACACCAUGGCUUUUGAUCUCAUGGGCUCCUUGAUCCUAGAUCCACUGUGAAAAUAUGUGUGGAAAUAGAAAUACUCCUGGGCUGCACACUGACCUCUGCCUUAAGAACACUCAUUAAGUCUGAGUGAGGAUGAAGUAGUUAACACAGGACAGAAAAUCUCCAGAAAGCAGCAUGGCCCAGACCAGAGGCUCCGUGAGUGCCUUCCCCUGUCAUCAUUACAGGGAGGAAGGGAAAUGGAGGCAUUCCUGGGAUGGAAUAGAACCUGCUUUUCUAGGAGAAAAGGUUGCCAUCAGGCAUGGAACCACCGAGGGCGCAGGGAGAAGGGUGGCUAAGUUACUUGGGGAGCCCCCUUCUGUCCCGAAGAGGGAGAAGUUUUGGUGUGUCCUCGUCUACGCAAAAGAGUUAGACUCUGUCACAUGGGCUUGCUGAAGAAUCUUAUCUGGCGGAUGGACAGAGAUGACCUGCUCAGCUGACCUGAAUCACAGUGAGCCCUGGUGAACCCAGCUCCAGACUUUCCUGAAGCAUGGCAGGCAGUGUGGUGCGGUUCAAGGUGGCUCUUCAUGACGUAGCAUCAGGCCUCUGGAGGAAGUAACGGCAGUUCAAAUGCCACUUUUGAGGGCUCUAUUGCAGUCUGCUUCAUGAAAUGCAGUGAAGCACGGGGGCUAAGUUGUAGCCCCCAGGCAUGCCUGCCAUAGACUUCUUGUGGCCGAGCCACGCUCCCCUGCACCCCCGAGGCUGUUCUAACUGGCUUAUAAGGCAGCAUGUGUUAUCCCUGAGCACAACAGGAAGCAGAGGGGAGCAGGCCCCAAGUGCAGGCAGCAAUGGAAGCUGGAUUUGAAGAUGAUACCGCACACCUCUGUGCGUUCUUCGUAAACAGAAUGUUCUAGCACAUCUGCAGAACUCAUCAGUGUUGGCUCCUUCUCCCCUCUGCCCCUGACCCGAGCACUAAUCCAGGAGACAAGGCCCUGGGAACUGUGGUGUACACACCUUGGAGAGGGCAGGUGGGGUGCAGAGGACACCCCACAUGCCCUUUCCAAAGGUGUUUGCAGAGACUCUGCUCUCAUGAUCCCUGGGAGGGAGGGGGUGGUGUUCUCUUCCCUCUCUCCCCAGUUUUAUUAGGAAGGUGAAGUGCCUCACCCGAGGUUGCUGGCUGGGUUCUGACACAACUCCCUACUGAUGUGGUUAGCUGGAUGAUCUAUUUCUUGUGUGUCAGUCUUGUCCCCUGCCCGCCCCCCCUCCCCAGCUGGGCGAGACUUCAUGGAAGAAUAUUUGCACAUUGUCUGAAAUAGUCUUGUGUUGCCAUCUCCUAACUUUUCUACUUGUAUGUUGAGCCGCUGAGUGAGACGUAAGUGGCCGUACUUUGGGAUGUGAAAGCAGGUAAGCUAGAAAUUGGGAAACCUUGCCUUGCCCAUCCCAGGACAACUCAGAACAGCUCAGAAGAAGGCCUAGGGGUAAGAGACAAGGUGGGUUCUUUCCCUGUGUUAUGCUGGGGUGGGGGGUGGGGGACGUUUAUCACACACACACACACACACACACACACACACACACACACACACACACACACACACCCCUCUCCCUCUGGUUGUCUCUCAGGGUCCAGAGAUCAAGAAGGCAGAUUAAGGAGCUGAGAGCAGGGGGUGCAGGAGUGUGCUGGUCUGUAUUGCUUGUUUAUAGAAAACUAAGUUAUUAAAAAAGGAAGAGCACCAACUGUAACACAUCAGAAUUUCACACCGACCACCACUUAUCUUUAAAUAGAGAGUAGGUGGAUACUCGGUGGCCCGGGCAGAGACCCCACAAGCGUGACUAUUAUCUUCUUAUAUCGGUAACCAAAGUCUGAUUUUUCUAUCAGAAUUACUUCAAAGCCCCCACCCUACCCCAAUUCUCACAUGGCUCACAUCUACCUGUCUUUUUGCCUCACAGUCUCUGCCCUCCCCUUUCUCAGAGAAGGGCUCUGCCCAGAGCACCCUGUCCUGGAGCUAAUAGGGCUUUAUGAGAGUCUCUUGGAGAACAGAUUGUCCUCUGCUGUGUGCCUGUGGUCCUUGCUCAGAUGCCUUAGGCUGUGGAGCCCAAGGACAGCAAGUCACACAUAUGCCAAGGACUUGGGGACUAGAUUGCAUUAUGUUGCCCAUGGCAACCAGUUCCAAGGCCAGUUCUGCCUCUGGCUUGGCUACCUGUGUUUGAAAACUACGGGGCUUUCUUUGCCCCCAACUCUUCCCCAGCAUAAAGUAUAAAUGGCAAAUACAAGUAAAAAUGUCUUGUUUAAAGUAGACAACACAGUACUUUGACAUACAUACAUACAUACAUAUACUAAAAAAAUCCCCACCAUAUACAUACAUCAUCAUAUUUAGAUACCGUGCGUGCGUGUGAGUGUGUGUGUGUGUGUGUGUGUGUGUGUGUGUGUGUGUGUGAGUGUGUGUGUGUGUGUGUGUGUGUGUGUGUGUGUGUGUGUGUGUUGAGAACAAUUAAGAUCCAUCUUUCUAGAGAAUUUCAAGUUCCAGCGCAGAGUGUUAACUGGAGUCACCAUCCUCUCCAUUAAUCUCCAGAAAUUACCCAGCCUGCACAAUGAAGGUUUGCACCCUUCCACAAACAUCUGGGCUUCCCUUUCCCUCCAGACUCUGCCAGCCACCCUCCACCUCUCACUUUGGUGCCUUUCACUGUUGUACAUUCCACCUAUGAAUGAGGCCAUGCAUGGUUGUCUUUCUGUGUCUGGCUUAUUUUACUUAGCAUAAUGUCGUCUAGUUUUAUCCACGUUUUCACAAAUGGCAGGAUUUCCUUCUAUUUUAAAGGGUGAAUUGUGUGUAUUUCCUGUACCACGGUUUGGCUUUUUAUUCAUCCAUUGAUGGACAUUUGGAUUGAUUUCAUAUCUUAUCUAUUAUGAAUAGUACUGCAAUGAACAGACACCACAAUUGGGUCCCAGUUUCAUUUCCUUUGAAUAUAUACGCCCAGAUAUUGCAUUGCUAGAUCGUGGGCAGUUCUGCUUUUGGUUUCGGGGGGAUCUCCCUGCUGUUUUCCACAGUGGUUGUGCUAAUUCACAUUCCCAUCAAGAGUUUAAGGCACAAACUACUACAUGCUACUUGAUAGUUUAUAGGUUUCGCUCCCUCUACAAUGUGAAAUAUGUUUUUUCUUCUAGAAAUAUUCUGUUUCUCUCUCUCUCUCUCUCUCUCUCUCUCUCUCUCUCUCUCUCACACACACACACACACACACACACACACACACACACACACACAGAAAGAGAGGCAUGUAUAACCCAUAUACCCCACACCUACCGUCUUGAGGCUCUGUAUUGUUCUUAUAGAGACUUCUGGAGCAUUGACUCUGAAUAUGAGCCUGAAGGGUUGAUUCUGGAUCUCCAAGUUGAUAAAUCAGUGCAGAUAACAACCAUGGACACACAAUUCACCUGGUGUCGAAGACCCAAGACCUUCUGGUUUAUUUCCAGCUUGCUGUGGGCAAGAUCUGCAAUGUUGCUGUGUCUUAUCUAUUCAUUGGAUUAAAAUACACAUCUCAUAAGUUUAUGGUGAAGAUGAGGUGAAAUAAUAGUGUGGGAAUCCUAUAAGGAUUAAAUGAUGGGUGAAAAUGUCUUGGAGGCCUGGAACACCAUUUAUCUGUGUCUUGCAAGGCACUGCCUGGAAUCUACAAAAGAAAUGGACUAUAAAAACUUGUGGUAAAAUAUAUAGGUAACAUAAAGCUUACCAUAAUAACCUCUUUUAAUUGAACAGCUCAGUGGCAAUAACUGCAUUCACAUUGCUGUGUAACCAUCCUCAAAUCUUGAAAACCUCUUCAUACUAUAAAACAGAAACUGUGCCCAUUAAACAACUCUUCCCUUCUCCCUCCACAGCCUUUAGUGACCAUCACUCCAUGACGUCUCUAUGGAGACACUAAGGGCCUCGUGGAAAUGGAAUCAUGUGGCAUCUAUCUUCCUAGAUUCUUUCACUCUAUAUGUUCUCCAGGUCCAUCUACUCCAUAGCAUGGUUAGGGAUUUUCUUCCUUUAUAAGCCUGGAUAAUAUUUGGAGGGCAUUUAAAAAAUGUCUAUGUAAUAUAAAACCCCUAGCCUAUGUGAAGAGCCAUAGGAAAUGACAAAGUAGCACAUUUAUAAUUAGCAAUAACAUAAAUAAUUAUAAAUGACAGACACAGUCCAGCAAUGGUAAGGAAGUGAUCCCUGCCUGUGCCCUGGACUGUCUCUAAGUGCUUAGCAUCCUGCAGGACUGCAUCUGGGUCAGGUAUACAGUUGUGUUAAUAAGAACCUGUGGUCUAGGACAGGGAUUCCCAAACAGAUCACACCAAGCAGUGAUGAACAAGUUCAAUUUGCUGCUAGAGCUCCAGGAGUGAGAGAUCACACAGCUGGGAAGCAACUGGAACAUUGGCAAAGGGGAGGUUGAAGAACAGAGCAGGGAGGUCAGCAGUUUCCUGGGCAGUCUGGGUUUUGGGACAGGGGCCUUUCUGUACAGGUGAUAAAGGCAGGCUCCAAGCAGGAGUGGAGAGAAGAGCUAAGAUAAUUACAGCAAGCUAAUAAUUCCCAACAUAAUUCCCGUCUUCCAGUGCGUCCUGGAGACCUGCAGGCAGAGGAGCUACUGCUAAUGGUGGCCUUACAUAGGCACUUUGGACAGCAGGCUGAAUGGGGAAGACUGGCAUUUACCAAGAUCAGUGAUGAGAGAAUCUUGUGCUGGAUCAGGGAGAAGGAGAGGAUGAUUUCACAGUGGUGGCCACUCACCACACAGAGCAAUAGCUGAUGCCAGGUUGGUGUCAUCUGAAUAAUUGAUUGGCAGAUAUUUUUGAAAGGACAAGGCCAAGGACACAAUCCUAUAUUCAAACAGGAGAAAAUGUUAUCUUCAUUGACACUGACCCAUGGAGAUCAACACUGUGGUUGCAGCUGUCCCACUGGCUACGAUGCUAUGGAAGGACAUGAAAUACAGUGACUGAGACCGAACACUGUAAAGAUAUCCAGUAUUUCCAGGUGAAUUCUUAGGUUGAGGUUCAAGACAAAAUCCCAUCAAGUUUCCUUCAUACAACCUGAUGAGCUGAUUCUCAGUUUUCUUUGGAAGAACACAGGAAUGUACUGGUUGAGGAAGAAAUAACAAGAACUGAGAGAAUGAAUCUUUUGGAAAACAGCUCAAGACUUAUUAUUAUAAAGCUAUAAUGAUCAGCACUGUUUGGUAUUGAUACAGGAGAGGCAAAAGAUCAAAGGAACAGAAAAGAGAUUGCAGAAAUAAAACAAUAAAGCAGCAAGCACAUAGCAAUUUGCUCGGGUACAGGGUGCGUUGUGCAUCUUUGGGAACACCGCGGCAAUUACAAAGUGACACCGGGCUAUGUGGCAGUCUGGAACGGAAAAGUGUUCUCUUUAGCUCAGAUCUGAACUAACACAGAUCCUAGGGUGCUUAAAGACCUAGAGAUAAAAAGAAAAGCUUCAGCAUAUUGGAAGAAAAUUCAAGAGAAUGUCUUCAUGACCUUCGAAGUAGGAAAUGUUUUUAAAAUAAGAUGCCAAAAGCAGGAGCAAAAAUGAGAAAUUUGAUUCAUUUGACUCGAUUAAAAUUACAAAUAUUCAUUUAUCAAAAUACAAGUGAAAGGUCAAACUUACAGACUUGGAAAAGACUUUUUUUUUACAGCUAUAAAAGAUAAAUAAUUAGUAUUCAGAAUCUGAUAAAGCCUUUCACAAGCCAACAUGAAUAAUACAAAUAAUUGAUGAGAAGAAGUGAAGAAUAUUACCAGAGACUUUUACAAAACAAAAGUCAAAAUACAGAAGAAUGCAUUCAAAAUGCUCCUGCGAUGCUCUGCCUCUGUGAAUAGGCAAGUGCAAACCAAAGUCAUGGUGGGUUUGCUUCUGACCUACUAGAUUGACAGCUUUUCUAAGUCUGAUGAUAACAAAUGUGGAGAAGGAUGUGGAGCAUGGGCCAGACCUGACAGCAAGAGAGAGCUAGGAAAUGCCAAAGCUUCUGUGUGCUUAGAUAAAAGUCUCAUUGUUAGGUAAAACAAGGAGACAAGCUGUUGGGGAGCUGAUGGAUGGUUCCAUGGUGCCGCCAUGGAAAGCUUGGAAAUGGCUAAUAAGGCUGAAAUGUGCAGCAUAUGGAUAUAGUAAUUUCAUGCACAGGUGUGAAUGCUAGAGACAUCCCUGGUAUGGGCCAGGAAGCAUUUUCCUGUCACAUUGUGACAACAGAUAAUCAGGAGCAAUAUGGAAGACCGUACACAUGGUUCUUCAGCCUGAACCAUCAACCCAUCCGUGAGCAGGAGUGUGGACAAAGCAUUCAGUCCAUGGCGACUCUUCUGAUGAUGGAAAUGCUGGGACCAAAUCCACAUGGCUAACAUGGAGAUGUCUCAAAACCACGAGGCUGAGAAAAGAUAACAAACUGCAGAAGGAGUCUUAGAGGGAGGUGCCAUUUACCUAAAGAACAGGGGCACAUCUCACCAGGAGACCCCACUUUGGCACCAUCGUGGUGGAAGGAUACAUGGUGCUUGCCACUGAGCACUCUCAGGAUCCCUCCACGGCCGGGUCCUGCUCCGGGAGGUGAGAUGUGCCAGACAGGAACACAGGCUGUCAUUGUCACACAUGGCUCUGAUUGCUGCUGACGUGGACACUCAGAGCCCAGGCUCCCAGGCCAGAUUUUCUGUCUGAAGUUGCAUACCACUGGAAGGAUAAAACGUCUUCGUGCUGGGAAGCCUCCUAAGAGUGGUUUUGACAGAGAUGAUAAAGGGACACAAGAACCAUUCACAUUAAGAGCCAUAUGGAUGGAAGGACAGGGGGUCCCAGGUGGGGCCUCCUCAAGCCAUCUACUGGAGUGUGAGAUUUUAGACUUGUGUUAACUGUGUCAUUACUGUUACCGAAGUGUGAGGAACCUCAGUCCCGCUCUUCUCCAUGGAAGAUGUCUGCUAACUGAAAAGACAUGCCUGAGUCUGAUCUCUUGGGGCCACAGAUGUCCAUGUGUUCUCUGAUUGGCUGGCACAGAAGCUGCUGGACAGAACCUGAUGAACAGAACCAACUGUUUUCUUCAGAAUAAUCUACACAUAAAUAGACUAUGGACUGAUUUCAAGUUGUAAUUCCAUGCACAUCAAGUCUAGCUGGCUCAAGCCAAUGGAUGGAGUUUUGGAGGGAUACUGAAGGAUCUCACAAAACCAAUGAAGAGCUAAGCAUCAAAGGGGGGAAGAGACUGGGCUGCAUCUGGAGACCCCAGAGAAGGAAGACUCGGGGAAGUCGCUGAGGUGGGCUGUCCCUGUUGGAAGGACACAGAAUCCAGAAGUUGCUUUGUGGGUUUCCUUGGCUGUGGGGACUUGGCCAUACUUGCAGUCAUUUCCUGCUUGAUCGUGGGCAAACCUCCUGACAUUUUUGUUUCUUAAUUUCAUUAUUAUACAGAAGCAUAAUAAAGCUCACCCUUGUCUUAGAAAGUGAUUUGGAGAUGACAUCUGGAAGUUAGGAGUGCUGGGAAUUUUGAACUUGUGUUGGCUCAGGGAACUGGACCACACUAGCAUGUGUAAGUGUGUGUCAUUCUUAGAACGUCAUUUCGUAGACAGGACAGUUAGCUGCCCCCAAAUGCUGCCACUGCAGUUUGUAGAUAGAGGUGACUCUGCAUGCUGCUAACUUUGCUCUGAAGCACAGGCUUUUCUGAGCCAGACUGCAGCCACCAUAACUUAACUGGCUCCACCUAAUCGAUAAUUCGGAAAUCUAAAGGCCAUUCAGUGGCUAAAGGCUUUUUAUUUAGCCUUUGUGCUUGGGUAUUAAUGUUAUCCCUGUGGCAUCUAAAUGGCAGCGCUAUUUAUGGAUUGGAAGUCAUUCUGACAGUGUGGCUCCUGGCUAUCCAUCUAGGUGAGUGAAACUCGCGGGACAAACAGGGAUAUUUUGUGUUUGCUGAUGCUAUGGAUUCUACCUAAUUUUUCCGUAGCAGCAGCCACAAAGGGCAGCAGAGAAAGAGCUCCAUUGUUUGAGGACAGAUGAAGCCAUCAGCUCUGUGUUUGAGUUCUAACUACUCUGGUCUAAGUCCCUGCAGAGAUAAUGUGGUGCUAUUUAUUGGUGUUUCUCAACCUUUUUGAGGUUUAGGAUUCUUUUAGUUGAAAAAUAAUAGGAUCAUGGGUAUGAGAUUAAUUGAAUGAUCACCAAUUGAGAAUAUAUAUAAUUUACUAUAAGAUGCGGUGUAUUUAGUAAUUUCCAAUGAGUUUAUGUUGAAUUCAUUAAAAUGACA